This is a long non-coding RNA of Mustela erminea (ermine), 783 nucleotides long. RefSeq lists it as uncharacterized. NCBI's taxonomy places the organism in Eukaryota, Metazoa, Chordata, Mammalia, Carnivora, Mustelidae. The transcript is spliced from 3 exons. The record is from RefSeq and is a predicted model, not a curated record.
CACCCACUUCCGGGGACGCCGUGGAGUAGGCGCAGCGGCCAGCUGGUGCGGUGUGGUUUGUGCAUGCUGUGGGGAGCCAAGCGGGCUCGCAGACCACCGACGCCUCCAGGACCUCCCAGAGACCCCCUGUCGCCCCCCAGAACCCGACCCGUCGUCCCUUCAGGACGGGCCGUCGUACCUCAGAACCCGGCCUGUCGUCCCUUCAGGACCGGGCGGUUGUACCUCAGAACCCGGCCUGUCGGCCCUUCAGGACCCGCCCGCCAGCCUUGGGUUCUUAGGACGUAGGCUCCGCAGCUGGCAUGGAGCCAAAACAGUUCUCGAACUCAAAUAAUGAGAUGAAGACCUGGCCCAAGAUCAAGAGUCAGAACUUAACCAACUGAGCCACCCAGUGCCCCCUAAUAAAAAUAUCUCACAGAUCUUGAGUGUCAGUAGAAACAGCUAAAUGCAAGGGACCAAGGAACAGAGCCAGUGGCCCCCAGAAAAAGCAGGAAGAGUCAGUGCUGGUGAUUAUUCAUGAGAACGGACAGGUGCCUGCCCCGGUGCUCAGACACAAAAGCCAGGUAAUGAACGGGCUUCACAGCGUGUUCCCAGGUAGGUAAUAAUGUCAGUCACCCAAGUGUCAAAGGAAGACAGCGCCAUGAAGAGUCAAUCCUUCAUUUCUGGAUGAUAAAAUUUCUAGAGGCCUUUUUAAUUUUUGUGCAAUGCUAAUAAGGCACGGCGUGUGAGUGGCUUCGCUGGUGAAGUGUCUGCCUUCAGUUCAGGUCAUGAUCCCAGGACCAAGCC